RNAcentral lists this ribosomal RNA (440 nucleotides) under uncultured bacterium. Its description in RNAcentral is "partial 16S ribosomal RNA". It matches the Rfam family "Bacterial small subunit ribosomal RNA", at positions 338 to 795 of the family's 1533-position model. The record is from RNAcentral.
CCUACGGGGGGCAGCAGUGGGGGAUAUUGCACAAUGGGGGAAACCCUGAUGCAGCGACGCCGCGUGUGGGAAGACGGUCCUCUGGAUUGUAAACCACUUUCCCCAGGGACGAAGAUGACGGUACCUGGGGAGGAAGCUCCGGCUAACUACGCGCCAGCAGCCGCGGUAAUACGUAGGGAGCGAGCGUUGUCCGGAAUUACUGGGUGUAAACGGAGCGUAGGCGGGGAUGCAAGGUGGGUGUAAAAACUACCGGCUCAACUGGUAGUCGCACUCAAAACUGCAGCUCUUGAGUGAAGUAGAGGCAGGCGGAAUUCCAAGGGUAGCGGUGAAAUGCGUAGAUAUUAGGAGGAACACCAGUGGCGAAGGCGGCCUGCUGGGCUUUUACUGACGCUGAGGCUCGAAAGUGUGGGGAGCAAACAGGAUUAGAUACCCCAGUAGUC